GCUGGGUGUGGUGGCUCACACCUGUAAUUCCAGCAUUUUGGGAGGCUGAGGUGGGUGGAUCACCUGAGGUCAGGAGUUCAAGACCAGCCUGGCCAACAUGGUGAAACCCCGUCUCUA
RNAcentral lists this non-coding RNA (117 nucleotides) under Pan troglodytes (chimpanzee). The record is from Rfam by way of RNAcentral. Lineage: Eukaryota; Metazoa; Chordata; Mammalia; Primates; Hominidae.